Arachis ipaensis is the source of this 1258-nucleotide non-coding RNA. NCBI's taxonomy places the organism in Eukaryota, Viridiplantae, Streptophyta, Magnoliopsida, Fabales, Fabaceae. The record is from RefSeq and is a predicted model, not a curated record.
ACAAGUUAUCCUAAUUCUUCUGCUAAUUUUACUGAACUUAAUUUUGAGCAAGUGCAACUUUCGUACUAUAUCAACUAAAAAUAUUAUGCAAUUUACUUCAAUAAUUUUUUUCUAUGUUUAUUUAUUAUGAUAAAAAUUGAUACGUCAAAUUAACAAAAAGUAAUAUAAUGUGUGCAGUCACGAAAAGAAACAAUUUAAAAAAAAUUAAUUAGCAAAAGUUUAUGUAUGCCUAGCAUAAAACUCUCUUGCAGACUUGCAGCAGGUGCAAAAAUUUCAUUGAUAACUAGGUUGGGACUACCGUACACAGCACUACUAAUAUAAUGUCUAUGACCCAAGCUGAAUUCUAUGCUUAUGCGUUGAUCAUCAAUCUCCACUCUAUAUCAAGAUAGAAAACAGAGGAUUAGUGGUUGAUUUUUGUCGUGAAAUCACCUCUCUAUAAAACUUAAGUUGAUAGAAAGAGAUAUGUGAAUUGUUAUAUCUCUAAUAUAUUUUCUCAUUUAAAUUUUUUUUUUAAGUUUGUAUAAAUUUUUGCAUAGGCCUAUAAUUUUUCUUUUUAUUUGUCUUAUGUUAAAUUUUUUUAGUCAACAAUAAUCGAACUUUAAACUCAUAGAAGUUGUGGUAUGAUAUUAGAAUUUAAAUUGGGUAUGCCUAAUUCAAUCCUAAAAACUUGUUCAUAGGAUAAGAAACGCCUUACACUUAAAAAUUUUUCAGAGAUCUUAUCCUUGAGAGAUUUGAGACUUGUAGUACACAUCAUUUAUGCUCAUAAAUGAUCAUUUAGAACGUGAACACUUGUCCCAACAGCACUGGAUUGGACGAGCUCUGAUAUCAUGUCAUGAAACUACUUCUCUCAAAAUUUAAGCUGACAUAAGAAAGCACAUGAAUGAUUAUAUCUCUAAAAUCUCUUCCUUUAGAAUGAUUCUUGGUCACCGAGCAGAAACUUUUUAGUCGAAAAUUAUUAUCUCUUUUGGUCUCACUUUUGUCCCAAAGGAAGUUGUGGGAUCCCUUCAGUACUUGACUAUCUCUAGACCUGACUUUGCCUUUUUUGUUAACAAGAUUCGGAUUGGGCAGGGGACUUGGAAGACAGAAAACCGGUCACUGGUUACUAUGUAUACUUAGGAAGCAAUUUUGUAUCAUGGAAAAGUAAUAAACAAGCCAAGAUUAGCCACAGCAGCACUGAGGCAGAAUACAUGAGCAUGGCAGCAACUCAGUCAGAAUUAGUGUCCAUUCAACAACUUCUAAAAGAACUUAAAGUCCAAUC